GGCUGAAGGCAGUGUAACUUAUAUGACUCAGUUUCUGCCUCUAUAAAAUAGGGAUGAUAAUAUUUCUUACCUUACAGAGUUAUAAUGAGGAUCAGUGGAGACAAUCUAUGUAAAGUCAUUUGCAAACCCUGGGGCCAAUGUAAAUAUUAGUUAAUACUCUUCCAUAAUCUAUGAUUUUUGAAUUAGCUGCACAGUGCAUACUGGGGCAACAGGGUGCAGUCCCGCAGGGAACAAGGCUCUGCCUUUGGUAUUCGCCCCAUAGUCCCUUGGUUUCUGUCAUUUUGGAAAGACGAUCCCAGGAUCGUGUCCACCCCGGUCUCUGUCGCAAGAGGCCGAUCCAGUUAAACAGUUCAACUGAGUAAACAUUUAUUAAGCAUUUACAGAUAUCUGCAAGGCACUGUGCUAGGCACACGGAAGGAUACAAAGGUUGAAGCCGACAGCCCUUACCCUCGUGGAGCCUGUAGGGCGUUGCUCGGGGUUUGUUCUCCCCUGCAGAGCUCCAGGAGGCAAAAUAGCUUUUCGCUGAGCUAGUUUGCCGGAAGGGUUCACAGAGGCGCACAGAUACUGGGUAAGUGCUGUGCCCUCUCAUACUGUCAGCCAGUUAAUGUUUCCUUUGAAUUGCUUAGUCUGUUCUUAGGCAAUGACUGAAGCUUUAGGGAAAAUACAGACUUUAUUGCAGCUUGCCUCCGUGGAAGGUACAGAUCUGCUUUCUCUAAGUAAAAUGUGCUUUAAACACGGGUUUAGGACCCAGGAAUUGACAUCUGCUGUUACAGAGUCAUUUGCCCUAGUUGCUGGUGGCCAUGUGUGCUGGUGUGGAGUUGACAAAUUUCAACAAUUGACUGUACCACAAAAUGGGCUGAUCCGGUCCAUUCCAUCUGUUCUUUCUGGUGGAGGGAUUCAUAAGCAGGAGAAUGACCAAGAGCCUAGAGGAAGAAGAAAUAAACUCCACAUCACAUAAUGAGUACCCAAGGAACCAAGAAUCGACAUCAAUGAAGUAACCACCAUGGUGAACUGUCACAGUCAAUUAGGGCUCUGAGCCAAUAGUAAUAAAGUAUUUAAGUGAAUGUAUUAGACCUAAAGA
RNAcentral lists this long non-coding RNA (1081 nucleotides) under Phascolarctos cinereus (koala). RNAcentral describes it as "lncRNA (ENSPCIG00000032308.1)". The record is from RNAcentral. Lineage: Eukaryota; Metazoa; Chordata; Mammalia; Diprotodontia; Phascolarctidae.